UUUUGCUCCUCAGCUCCCCUUGGCCUUCCUUUGUGCGCGCCACCAAGGACGGCAUCGAACCCCACCAAGUUUGUGCCAUAGUUUAUACUUGAAUAUUGUCCGCUUCUGUCCCGUCUUGAUUCUUCCAUUUGUUGAGUUUGUAAAACGUACUCUGAACAUACCAUGUAAGCCUUGCUGAC
Molecule: long non-coding RNA, 179 nt
Organism: Copidosoma floridanum
Lineage: Eukaryota; Metazoa; Arthropoda; Insecta; Hymenoptera; Encyrtidae
Source: RefSeq, a predicted model, not a curated record